CAGGGAAAGGGGCUGAGGACACCCACCUUCCUGGGACACCAGCUCCUACCAGCACAGGGGUGAAAAGCAGCAGGAACCUGAUGUCUUAGGAAAAUCCCUGGAGAAGAGCCAGACAGGAUUUCAUGGAAGGAGCAGAGGACUCGGAAGGAAUUCUGAGCCCUGCCCACAGCCUUCCCAACACAGGGAGUACAGUUAAUAAAUCAGAGCCCCGAUGUGGAGAUGAAUUAAUCGGGCUGCCAGAAAAGGAGGGAAUGAAGGCUCAAAUGAACACCAGCAAACAAAUGCUCCUGUCAGACCACAGGAAGUGUCCUGGCAUUGAGGUGCCCACUGGGACAGGGCCAAAAUCCAGAUGGAGGUCUGAAGCUGCUGCCAGUGAGGGGGCUGGAAUUUGCCAUUGCUGGGAAGAGCUCUCAGAAGAAACCAUCCAGCACAGACAAGAUGCAGGUGAGGAUUCGGAAGCGUUCGGCUGCAAAAAACAACAGGAGGAGCCGGGACUGUACCUGUGGGAGACGAUGGUGGGGGGCAGCUGCUUGUGAUCCCCGGCCAGGAUGCACUUGGGAGCCUUCAGCAGAGGGAUCCAGCAGCUGGCUUCCAGGGCCUGAGCACACUCAUCAAUCACCACCAGGUCGAAGUGGUUUUCGGGCAGCAGCUUCAGCGGGCCGUCGGAGGAGGCACCUGAUGGAAGCAGAAGAAGCUUCCAAGACUCUUUGGAAAACAGCAGCCAAAGAGAACGAGAUCCUGGAAUGCUUCACCCAGAGCAGAGCAGUGAACACCCACCUUCCUGCUGCCCCCUCAGUGCAAACAGAACUCCUCAUCACCAACACUGGAAGGGUGAGGGACUGCAGCUCCACCAGUCUGAGAAGUGGGGGACAGCCCAGGAGGGAGAGACGGGCUGAGUCCCCACUCCUCUGCCCUGCUGACCCCCUGGCUGUGCCACUCUGUCCUUCCUCAUGGCACUGGGAGAAGGGAAAGCACAGGAGAAGUAACCAGGCCACCACAGCAAGGGCUAAUUUUUAGUAUCAGAAGCCCAUUUGUAACAUCAAACAAAUGACCCUGGCACACAACCUGCUCUAACCCAGACCUACCUGAUACCGAUCCACGCAUUGAUCAGAAAUCUGGAUGUCAGGGGCAUCAAAAUCUCACCCAAUUCACAAGGAAAAAGGAUGCAAAAGGAGGAGAGCAGGGUUAAGAAGCCAGCAUGCCAGGAGAGAAGAUUUUUAUUCACAGAGGUGUUUUUUUCCCACAGC
This is a long non-coding RNA of Pipra filicauda (Wire-tailed manakin), 1247 nucleotides long. RefSeq lists it as uncharacterized. The transcript is spliced from 5 exons. NCBI's taxonomy places the organism in Eukaryota, Metazoa, Chordata, Aves, Passeriformes, Pipridae. The record is from RefSeq and is a predicted model, not a curated record.